AAGCAUCCAUUUCAAGGAACAUGGCUAAUGUGGCUGAGGAUAUUAUUAGUGAUGCCGAGGAAGAGGAUGAUUCGACACAAACCCAUAUGUCUGCAAAGAUCAACAACAAUGGUAAUUACUAUCAUUUUUAUCCCCCCCUUUUAUCCUGAAUGCCCAGGUAUUUUAUGUGGCUUGUAUUUUCACCCUCCAGUUGAUGACGAUGACGGUGUCGUAUUUGAAGACGAUGCUGAUGAGAACGAGGGAUACCUAUUCGCUGGGCAAUAUGAGGAUACUGAUGAGGAUAUAGAGAUCGAUGGUAGUCAAGAUGAAUCGAGUGCCACUGAUGUUCCUGACCCGUACGACAAGGUGUAUAGCAACAUCCCUGAAGAAACACAUAUGCUAAAGACUGUUCCCAACUGCGGUUAUUGCACCGCGAAGAAGUUUGAGUAUGAGACACCUGGUUUUUGUUGUCGUGGUGGGAAGGUUGAACUAGCCCCACUUGAGACCCCUCCCCAACUCAAGAGGUUGUGGGAUAGUGCAGACUCUGAUGCUAGGCACUUUCGUGAUAACAUUAGGUUUUUAAUGGCC
This 567-nucleotide unclassified non-coding RNA is filed under the name Zea mays. RNAcentral's name for it is "misc RNA Zm00001eb009200". Lineage: Eukaryota; Viridiplantae; Streptophyta; Magnoliopsida; Poales; Poaceae. The record is from RNAcentral.